RNAcentral lists this ribosomal RNA (253 nucleotides) under uncultured bacterium. Its description in RNAcentral is "partial 16S ribosomal RNA". It matches the Rfam family "Bacterial small subunit ribosomal RNA", at positions 524 to 776 of the family's 1533-position model. The record is from RNAcentral.
UACGGGGGGGGCAAGCGUUGUUCGGAAUUACUGGGCGUAAAGGGCUCGUAGGCGGCCAACUAAGUCAGACGUGAAAUCCCCAGGCUCAACCUGGGAACUGCGUCUGAUACUGGAUGGCUUGAAUCCGGGAGAGGGAUGCAGAAUUCCAGGUGUAGCGGUGAAAUGCGUAGAUAUCUGGAGGAACACCGGUGGCGAAGGCGGCAUCCUGGACCGGCAUUGACGCUGAGGCGCGAAAGCCAGGGGAGCAAACAGG